GGACGCCGAAGGACAGCAGAGUUGGUUGAUGGAGAGCAUCUGGUCAGCCUCCUGGCGUGCGUGGCAGGGCUGAGAAGGUGGCAAGUGAAUAUGGGGCUGGGGCUGGAAGACAUCCACGGCAGAUGACUGUAAGUGCUAUGGAGAAAAAUAAAGUAGGAAAGAGAGACAAGGAGGAAAUAGGGGUCUUGCUCUGUUACCCACGCUGAAGAGCAGUGGUGUGAUCACAGCUCACUGUAGCCUCAAACUCCUGGGCUUACGUGAUUCUUUCACCUCAGCCUCCCCAGAAUCUAG
RNAcentral lists this long non-coding RNA (291 nucleotides) under Papio anubis (olive baboon). RNAcentral describes it as "lncRNA (ENSPANG00000038415.1)". The record is from RNAcentral. Lineage: Eukaryota; Metazoa; Chordata; Mammalia; Primates; Cercopithecidae.